AAGGAGCUGAGGACGGAGAAGGACUUUGUGAAGUUCGAAGCCGCCUUCUCCCCGAAGCCCCUGUUCU
Molecule: non-coding RNA, 67 nt
Filed under: Sus scrofa (pig)
Lineage: Eukaryota; Metazoa; Chordata; Mammalia; Artiodactyla; Suidae
Source: RNAcentral